CUCCUUUCCUGUGCUUCUCUGUACAAACUCACUUCUUCUAUUCCUAUCUCAUCCAUCAAGAUCCUCUCUCCUUCGGAAGGCGUUUUCUUUUCCUUGAUAAAUCUCCAAUAUGCAGAUCUUCUCAAAAUCCUCGCCGAGGUCGAGAGCUCCAAUACCAUCGAUAACGUCAACGCCAAGAUCUAAGACAAGUAAAGCAUCCAUCCAGACAAGCAGCGCUUGAUCUUUGCCGGAAAGCAGCUGGAGGAUGGU
RNAcentral lists this unclassified non-coding RNA (249 nucleotides) under Hevea brasiliensis (rubber tree). The record is from RNAcentral. Lineage: Eukaryota; Viridiplantae; Streptophyta; Magnoliopsida; Malpighiales; Euphorbiaceae.